GUGCCAGCAGCCGCGGUAAUACGUAGGUGGCAAGCGUUGUCCGGAAUUACUGGGCGUAAAGCGCGCGUAGACGGCUUAAUAAGUCAGAUGUGAAAGACCCGGGCUCAACUCGGGGGUUGCAUCUGAGACUGUUGAGCUUGAGUGCAGGAGAGGCAAGUGGAAUUCCCAGUGUAGCAGUGAAAUGCGUAGAGAUUGGGAGGAACACCAGUGGCGAAGGCGACUUGCUGGACUGUAACUGACGUUGAGGUGCGAAAGCUAGGGGAGCAAACGGGAUUAGAAACCCCGGUAGUCC
RNAcentral lists this ribosomal RNA (292 nucleotides) under uncultured bacterium. Its description in RNAcentral is "partial 16S ribosomal RNA". It matches the Rfam family "Bacterial small subunit ribosomal RNA", at positions 505 to 796 of the family's 1533-position model. The record is from RNAcentral.